Molecule: long non-coding RNA, 502 nt
Organism: Cyprinus carpio (common carp)
Lineage: Eukaryota; Metazoa; Chordata; Actinopteri; Cypriniformes; Cyprinidae
Gene: thoc6
Exons: 2
Source: RefSeq, a predicted model, not a curated record
UCAGUAGGUGAGGGUACCAUACGUGUCCCACUGUUUACAUGGAGGGACAGUGAAAGCUCAGAUUCCCUGCACUCCUUCCUCACUCAACACACUGGCUCUCAAUCUCAAGAACACUGAACAUAGGGUUAUGACAGUAGGGGGCAGCAGUCACCAAAUUGAUGUGUUCACCAACUUCAGUUACAGAGCCUUUUUCUCUCUCAUUUUUGAGCACACUUCAACAUUUGUUUGAGUUUGAUUUGAAGUCUGAGGCUGACUCUUGAAUUACGAUUUGAUAGAAUGCAACUAAACAAUGUAUUUUUAUAAGAAUUCGUUUUUUGGUUAUUGUUCGCUUGUGUGUGUUUUUAGCUUUACAUUUGAAUCAUGCAUUUUACCCUGAAAAGGGCUUUGAAGGUGCACCUGGUCAUUUUUUUUGUGUGUUACACUAGUAAAAUACACAAAGUAUAGUAUUACUCAUGUACAUUAUUAUUUUUUUACAAUUAAAAUAUAGAAAAAUUGUGUUAGA